Psammomys obesus (fat sand rat) is the source of this 1023-nucleotide long non-coding RNA. RefSeq lists it as uncharacterized. Lineage: Eukaryota; Metazoa; Chordata; Mammalia; Rodentia; Muridae. The record is from RefSeq and is a predicted model, not a curated record. The transcript is spliced from 3 exons.
UCUGCUGUUCCUUGGAGGAUUGGAUCAUGGAUUUGGGCCUGACGGCUGAGUGAACUUGGACUACUUCCUCUUUUUUGCCAUAACCAAGCUUCAAACAGAAAUUAUUGCACCAAAUUAUUGCUGCCAAAGCCAGCAAGAUAAAACUGUCCCUUUUUGGUUCCUGAUGAUCCCUGGCCUCUUGCCUCACACCACCUGACCGCAGCGUGCAGAGAAGGAGGGAGGAAGACAAAGCCUGAAGUGACUGUUUUUAGCCUGGCACCAGCUUUACUGAGGGUUCUCAGAAGACAAUUGAGAGUACGUCAAGUCACACACCGUUAGGAAUGCUUCAAGUAGUUACAUCCGUGGACGUCAAGCUUGGGUAGCGUUUGACCUGGAGUUCUCCAGAGGACCAGAGCCACCAAGAUGCCGCGGUUUGUCUACCUCUCCACCCAUCUGUUAUAAGGAUCAUGUCACCCCGAGGUGGAGGGUGCGGAGACCUGUGCCUGGUAGACUGGGGCUAGUUCCUGUCCCUGUCUGAAGACCUGAGAAGUGGGAGAGCCUACAGGAUAAGCCACAGUCUGAGUCCUCAUUCAAAGACAAGAGAAGACUGGUGUCCUGUAUUAAGACAGGAGGGCAGAAACUUUGGGCAGAGUGUGGGGAAUCUUAUGGAAGAAGGGGAGAUAGAAAGACUUGGAGGGGACAGGAGCUCCACAGGAGACCAAAAAAUCUGGGCUUAGACGGUCCUGCAGAGUCUGAUGCAUCAGCCAAGGGCUGUGCAUGAAUUGGACCUAGAGCCCUGCUCAGAGAUAGCCCAUUGGCAGCUCAGUCUCCAUGUGGGUUCCCUAGUAAGGGGAACAGGGGUUGCCUCUGACAUGGACUCAGUGGCCAGCUCUUUGAUCACCUUCCCCUGGUGUGGUGACCUAACUAGGCCAUAGAGAAAGAGGAUCCAGACAGUCCUGAUGAGACCUGAUAAGCUAGGGUCAGAUAGUAGGGGAGGAGGACUUCCCUAUUAGUGGACUAGGGGAGGGACAUAGGGGCAGAAGA